GAUGAACGCUAGCUACAGGCUUAACACAUGCAAGUCGAGGGGAAACGAUAUUGGAAGCUUGCUUCCGAUAGGCGUCGACCGGCGCACGGGUGAGUAACGCGUAUCCGACCUGCCCACCACUUGGGGAUAACCUUGCGAAAGUAAGACUAAUACCCAAUGAUAUCUCUAGAAGACAUCUGAAGGAGAUUAAAGAUUCAUCGGUGAUGGAUGGGGAUGCGUCUGAUUAGCUUGUUGGCGGGGUAACGGCCCACCAAGGCGACGAUCAGUAGGGGUUCUGAGAGGAAGGUCCCCCACAUUGGAACUGAGACACGGUCCAAACUCCUACGGGAGGCAGCAGUGAGGAAUAUUGGUCAAUGGGCGAGAGCCUGAACCAGCCAAGUAGCGUGCAGGAUGACGGCCCUAUGGGUUGUAAACUGCUUUUAUAAGGGAAUAAAGUGAGUCUCGUGAGACUUUUUGCAUGUACCUUAUGAAUAAGGACCGGUUAAUUCCGUGCCAGCAGCCGCCGUAA
Molecule: ribosomal RNA, 508 nt
Filed under: uncultured bacterium
Lineage: Bacteria
Description: partial 16S ribosomal RNA
Rfam family: Bacterial small subunit ribosomal RNA
Source: RNAcentral